UGGGGAAUAUUGCGCAAUGGGCGAAAGCCUGACGCAGCGACGCCGCGUGAGGGAUGAAGGCCUUCGGGUUGUAAACCUCUUUCAGCGCCGAAGAAGCGAAAGUGACGGUAGGCGCAGAAGAAGCACCGGCUAACUACGUGCCAGCAGCCGCGGUAAUACGUAGGGUGCAAGCGUUGUCCGGAAUUAUUGGGCGUAAAGAGCUCGUAGGCGGUCUGUCGCGUCUGCUGUGAAAACUCGGGGCUUAACCCCGGGCCUGCAGUGGGUACGGGCAGACUAGAGUGCGGUAGGGGAGACUGGAAUUCCUGGUGUAGCGGUGAAAUGCGCAGAUAUCAGGAGGAACACCGGUGGCGAAGGCGGGUCUCUGGGCCGUAACUGACGCUGAGGAGCGAAAGCGUGGGGAGCGAACA
RNAcentral lists this ribosomal RNA (407 nucleotides) under uncultured Kineosporia sp. RNAcentral describes it as "bacterial SSU rRNA". It matches the Rfam family "Bacterial small subunit ribosomal RNA", at positions 355 to 774 of the family's 1533-position model. Lineage: Bacteria; Bacillati; Actinomycetota; Actinomycetes; Kineosporiales; Kineosporiaceae. The record is from RNAcentral. RNAcentral also lists the same sequence under 1 other name.